GAUGAACGCUGGCGGCGUGCCUAAUACAUGCAAGUCGAACGCAUAGCGAAAGGUGCUUGCACCUUUCAAGUGAGUGGCGAACGGGUGAGUAACACGUGGACAACCUGCCUCAAGGCUGGGGAUAACAUUUGGAAACAGAUGCUAAUACCGAAUAAAACUUAGUGUCGCAUGACACAAAGUUAAAAGGCGCUUCGGCGUCACCUAGAGAUGGAUCCGCGGUGCAUUAGUUAGUUGGUGGGGUAAGGGCCUACCAAGACAAUGAUGCAUAGCCGAGUUGAGAGACUGAUCGGCCACAUUGGGACUGAGACACGGCCCAAACUCCUACGGGAGGCUGCAGUAGGGAAUCUUCCACAAUGGGCGAAAGCCUGAUGGAGCAACGCCGCGUGUGUGAUGAAGGCUUUCGGGUCGUAAAGCACUGUUGUAUGGGAAGAACAGCUAGAAUAGGAAAUGAUUUUAGUUUGACGGUACCAUACCAGAAAGGGACGGCUAAAUACGUG
RNAcentral lists this ribosomal RNA (497 nucleotides) under uncultured bacterium. RNAcentral describes it as "partial 16S ribosomal RNA". It matches the Rfam family "Bacterial small subunit ribosomal RNA", at positions 28 to 507 of the family's 1533-position model. The record is from RNAcentral.